RNAcentral lists this ribosomal RNA (253 nucleotides) under uncultured bacterium. RNAcentral describes it as "partial 16S ribosomal RNA". It matches the Rfam family "Bacterial small subunit ribosomal RNA", at positions 524 to 776 of the family's 1533-position model. The record is from RNAcentral.
UACGGAGGGGGCGAGCGUUAUUCGGAAUUAUUGGGCGUAAAGGGCGCGUAGGCGGCUUCGUAAGUCAAAGGUGAAAUCCCUCGGCUCAACUGAGGAACUGCCUUUGAAACUGUGAGGCUUGAGGCCGGGAGGGGGUAGCGGAAUUCCCAGUGUAGCGGUGAAAUGCGUAGAUAUUGGGAGGAACACCAGUGGCGAAGGCGGCUACCUGGACCGGUUCUGACGCUGAGGCGCGAAAGCGUGGGUAGCAAACAGG